AGCGAACGCUGGCGGCAGGCUUAACACAUGCAAGUCGAGCGGGCGUAGCAAUACGUCAGCGGCAGACGGGUGAGUAACGCGUGGGAACGUACCUUUUGGUUCGGAACAACACAGGGAAACUUGUGCUAAUACCGGAUAAGCCCUUACGGGGAAAGAUUUAUCGCCGAAAGAUCGGCCCGCGUCUGAUUAGCUAGUUGGUGAGGUAACGGCUCACCAAGGCGACGAUCAGUAGCUGGUCUGAGAGGAUGAUCAGCCACAUUGGGACUGAGACACGGCCCAAACUCCUACGGGAGGCAGCAGUGGGGAAUAUUGCGCAAUGGACGGAAGUCUGACGCAGCAACGCCGCGUGAGGGAUGACGGCCU
Molecule: ribosomal RNA, 363 nt
Filed under: uncultured bacterium
Lineage: Bacteria
Description: bacterial SSU rRNA
Rfam family: Bacterial small subunit ribosomal RNA
Source: RNAcentral